UGCUAAUCUCCAACUCCGGUUACCAGUGGUAGCACAAUUUCAGGAUACUUAACCAAAGUAAGUACAGCUAGCAAUGUGCUCAUGACGGAACUAGCUGUUUAUUUAUUUAUUUUUUUUAAGAGUGUUACUUGAGUAAUCACUUCAGAUUGUUAGCACAUGUGUCUUAUUUUCGUUAUUUAAUUGUACCAUUCAAAAUUUCCUUUCUUUAUGAUGGGCAGAUUCCAACAAGAAAGCAGGAAAAGAAAAUGUAUACUUUUACACGUUUUGGAGUAUUUUUAAAGUUUGAAAAUAUAAAAGGGAUGAUUUUUAAUAUUUUUUAUUUUAUCUACAUUUCUAAGGAAGUCUGCUGUGGUAAUACAACUUCAUUUUUAACAUUCACAACAUUCUAAGGUUAUUCUUAAGAAUAGGAAAAAAAUGAUAAAAUACAAUUGUCAGGAGUUGUACCAAUAUUUGGUCUGAUUUGUUUGCGGUACUAUUCAGCAUAUACUGUACUCUAUAGUAUACUAUAGGAAGGGCUUGUGAAGUUUUGUUUCUUGUCCAUGACUGGAAUGUCUUGUAACGUGUUACAUGUUAAUUAAGAUGCUUAAUGACAUUGAUUUUAUUCUCUAAGCAAAAGAUAUAUGUGUUUGGUAAAGCGUCUGGCAUGUCAUCCUUAGGGCCGAUUUAUACUUCAUCGCUCAGAGGACGUAUAUGCACACAUCAUGGCUGUCAUGUGUUUCCAGCGUUCAUUUGAUAUGUCCUCUGAGAAUGUCAUCAGAAAUUAAUGAGAUGCUUGUGCGAGUUGCAGUACCAGUACCAGCAAAAUAUUGCGGGGAGGUUUGGGCGAAGUGUGUUCAAGUUGGAACAUGAUGUCAGAGUGUCUCCUACAGGAUCAAUGUGCGUGCUUCAAUGUUUGAUGAAUGGUUUGAUGUGGUGAAGCAAAUCAUCAAACUUAAAUGCUGACCUACAAAUAUACUCGUGGUGCUUUUCUUCAUCUAUUUAUCGCAUAGGUAAUACAAGCGUUGCAUAUUCCCCAUUGUAAUGACGUAAUAUAUUUUAAAGGUCUCGUAUACCAUCUUCUGAGAUUUUUUUUUUUUGUUUUUGCACCUUCUCAACAGCAUCACAAUGUAUAGAAGCAUAUUUGAGUCACAGAGAAAAAAAAUUUGGGACACAGUGAAGAAAAAUAGGUCCAUUUUGUGAGUAAUGUAGAAAUUUCGACUUUAAUCUCUGUUUAUUUUGUCAUUAAAGUAAAAUAUCAUCUUAAAACCGACCCAUUUGUUAAUCACUACAUGCUCCUGGGUCUUCCUUCUGUGCUGACAGCAGUGGCAGGCAGUGAUUACCACACAGAACACAUUAAAUGUAUGAUAUUCCAGCUCUCCGCACAUUUAAAAUCCUUAGAUUUAUACUUAAUAUCACUUUCAUGAUGAAAUGUGUUAAAGCAUGUGUGUUACAUUUUACAGAUAAAUCGUUAACUUCACUUAAAUAAUAAAUACUGUUAAUAAUUACACAUAUGGGGCGGCACAGUGCAGGGGCAGUAGUGCUUCUGCCUCGCAGUAGGGAGUUGCGUCUCUGGUGUUCCAUGACUGGAGUUUACAUGUUUUCCUGGUGGGUUUCCACAGUGUGCUUCAGUUUCCUUCCAAGGAUGUGAAGGUUUCGGGAUUUGGUGAUGCAAAAAUGACACUACUGUAUGUGAGUGCUUGUAUUCACCUUGCAGUAAGCUGAUGCCCCAUACAGGGAUUGUUUCUGCCUCAUGCUCAAUGCUAGCUGGAAUGGGCACUUCCCAGGAUUGAUGGAUAUAAUCGUUAAACAGCCAUCCUUUUCAGAGAUAUUCUGGCAAGGUGUCCUGGGAAUUUAAUGGAUGUUUUGGGCAAUUCACUCCACAGCGAAACCGAACAUUGUUUUCUCACCAUGACGAUAUCUCGUACUACCACCCGAUGGAAUCCUCCAGAUUUACAUAAACGUGAAUUAUAAACCCAGCCUUGGUUUACUAAAGAUAGUUUAUAAGGCAUACUUCUUACUUAAUAAUGUUGACAGUAUGUUACAAAACGCAAUAUAAAUUACACAAUUCAUUCUGAAGCUUUCGUGGCUCCGUGAACCCAAGAGCUAAAUAAAAAAACUUUUAAUUUUAACUGACCAGGGUUACUUUUAUUUUGUUUUUAUAUUAACAGUGCUCAGAAUUGUAAAAUGCAUUGUGGUCAGCAAUGCAGCUUCAAGAAUUCCAUGUUCUUUUAUUUUCGUCCUGGUUGAUUUUCUCCUCCAGAGUUAACAUUGCCAUUUUCUGCCCUGGUGCUGUCUCUUCUGCAUUAAAAUCCCCCAAGAUGUGGAUUUUAGAGCUUACCUGCCUUGAGGAAUCCACAGCUUAGCUUAACUGAUCCUUGAGUCAGGAUGUCGGUACUUGUUUAGAUGUUUCAUGGACCCUGUGGAUGGUGCAAUGGCCAGAGAUCAUAGCAUCGCUCACAUUUUCUCAGGUUUAAGGUUGUUUUAAAGGAGAGAUUGUAUUUUGCACUUGGAUGAUACAAAUUGAAAAUGUGUAUGCAGAGGAUGCAGUUGUCAAACCUGUAGCUCUUACAUAUGGCUUGCUCCUAAAAGAAUGUUCAAAUAAAGCAGUUAAUCUUUUAUAAAAUGAA
Erpetoichthys calabaricus (reedfish) is the source of this 2606-nucleotide long non-coding RNA. RefSeq lists it as uncharacterized. NCBI's taxonomy places the organism in Eukaryota, Metazoa, Chordata, Cladistia, Polypteriformes, Polypteridae. The transcript has 2 exons. The record is from RefSeq and is a predicted model, not a curated record.